UCUAAAAACUGAGGUGCUCACUCCCUCUCUCUCCUUUUUGAUGAUUGUGAUAUUUAGACCUGCCAAAGCAGUAUAACUUCAUUGUCUGGAAUUUGGUUAAUUCCAAUGCAAAUACAAAAAUCAAAUACGUGAACUGAGCUUUGAAAAUAUUUUCAUUUUUGAGGAUUUUCAUUGUUACGGGAUUGAGCCUGUAGAAGUCUCUGUGUAAGCUCUGUGUAAGCAAAUCUAAUCUAUUCACACUGAAGUCAGGGCUCUAUAAAAGACUGUGGGAACAUUCAUUCUCCACUCUCUCAGAGACUCUUUUAGGUGGCACUGGCUGAGGCAAAAUGAAUACAGCUGCUGAUUCUGAUCUCACACUGGGUAUAUCCCUGAGUGCUGGAAAAAACAUCACCCUCAGAAGUGUGCAUUCAGCCAGCUGCCUUUGGAGAGAGCUGGGAAGGGUGCAAAGUGGCAUGUCCUUUACCAGUCACUCUUUCUGGGCCAAUGCUUAUCCAGAAAUGAGACAGAACUAUGAGUUUACUGCAAACGACCAGCAUCAGCAAAGUGAUCAAGGCUACCAACUUUGGGUAAUGUGUCCCACAUCUCAGAUGUCAAUUGAUAUAAGAAUUACAGUAAAGAAUUAUGAGUGUUCACUCUGCAAUGAAAAAAUGAAGCAGCAGAAGGUGAAUGUGAAAGACUAAGAAGAGCCCUGCAGAAAACCCGUUAGCCCAUGUUUUCAUCUGUAAUAUGGAUGUGGGAUGGGAAGAGGGAUAAUGACAUAGUACCGACCAGGUUCCAGAAACUAUUCCAAGUGCUUUACAUGAUAAAAAUCUCUUAAUUGUCUCAACAACCAUAUGAAGUAUAUCUCUAGUGUUGCCCCUAUUUUAUAGAUGACAAAACGUUACUGAUAUCUGUAUAGCUAGUAAGCAGGAGAGACAGGAUUCAAUCUGUCAGCCCAACUCUGGCGGUGCCCGUGUCCCCGCUCUGUGAUCCUGACAGGCAGCCACAGCCAGGAGUCCUUGUUUUACAUAUUUCCCGUGUCUGCUGCUGAACUAGACCCUAACAGUGGAUUCUUGGUACAUCCUUACCCAAAGAUAACCCAUAAGUUUUCAUGACAUUACCACGGACUCGUCUUGCUUGUGAAACCAAGUAAUGGUACAAACAAAAGAAUCAUGUGUUAAGAAUUUUUUGAAGUAAAUGAUUCUGUCAUCAUUAUUCUUAAAGAAAGUGAUGUGCCCAAGGUCACACACUUAGUCACUGGUCAGUCCUGGGGCAAACACCCCUUGAUGUCCAGCCCUUGAGUCAGGAUGAUUGCUUCAUCUAGAAGGUACCAUGGACACUCUGCUUGAAUCCAGGAACCUCUGGAGUUGUAUAUGGCUCUGCCCAAGACAAAGGAAUCUGCUGUCCCAGAUCCACAGAAGCCCUGGCUCUAAAUUAAAAACAGCACAACAACAACAUUGCAGCAACAACAAAAUAGUAAUAAAAUAAAAGGUGGGAAGACCUCGAGAGCAUAAAAAUUUCCUUAAACUGAUCAUCAGAGAAAGGAAAGGGAGGAUUCCUUCUUUAAAGAGGCAAGUGCCUGCCAGCAGGAACCUAAAACUCAUUAUUAUUCUGUAUUUUAUUUUUUCAUGACUAAAAAGUUUUUCUAUCCUCCCCCUUCCUGUCCCUAUCAAAAGGCUACCCCCUCCACAAGACAAUCACAAACUUUAAAAGUAGCAAGCCCUCACUUCAAACAAAAUGUAAAAAUAAAAAUUCAA
Molecule: long non-coding RNA, 1736 nt
Organism: Pongo pygmaeus (Bornean orangutan)
Lineage: Eukaryota; Metazoa; Chordata; Mammalia; Primates; Hominidae
Exons: 4
Source: RefSeq, a predicted model, not a curated record